UGGGGGAUAUUGCACAAUGGGGGAAACCCUGAUGCACCAACGCCGCGUGAAGGAAGACGGUUUUCGGAUUGUAAACUUCUGUUCUUAGUGACGAUAAUGACGGUAGCUAAGGAGAAAGCUCCGGCUAACUACGUGCCAGCAGCCGCGGUAAUACGUAGGGAGCGAGCGUUGUCCGGAAUUACUGGGUGUAAAGGGAGCGUACGCGGGAGAUCAAGUCAGAUGUGAAAACUAUGGGCUCAACCCAUAACCUGCAUUUGAAACUGUUCUUCUUGAGUGAAGUAGAGGCAGGCGGAAUUCCGAGUGUAGCGGUGAAAUGCGUAGAUAUUCGGAGGAACACCAGUGGCGAAGGCGGCCUGCUGGGCUUUUACUGACGCUGAGGCUCGAAAGCAUGGGGAGCAAACAGGAUUAGAUACCCUGGUAGUCCAUGCCGUAAACGAUGAUUACUAGGUGUGGGGUGGCUGACCCAUUCCGUGCCGGAGUUAACACAAUAAGUAAUCCACCUGAGUAGUACGGCCGCAAGGUUGAAACUCAAAGGAAUUGACGGGGGCCCGCACAAGCAGUGGAGUAUGUGGUUUAAUUCGAAGCAACGCGAAGAACCUUACCAGGUCUUGACAUCCGACUAACGAAGUAGAGAUACAUUAGGUGCCCUUCGGGGAAAGUCGAGACAGGUGGUGCAUGGUUGUCGUCAGCUCGUGUCGUGAGAUGUUGGGUUAAGUCCCGCAACGAGCGCAACCCUUAUUCUUAGUAGCCAGCAGGGAAAGCUGGGCACUCUAAGGAGACUGCCGGGGAUAACCCGGAGGAAGGUGGGGAUGACGUCAAAUCAUCAUGCCCCUUAUGAUCUGGGCUACACACGUGCUACAAUGGCGUAACAAAGGGAAGCGAGCCUGCGAGGGUGAGCAAAUCCCAAAAAUAACGUCCCAGUUCGGACUGUAGUCUGCAACCCGACUACACGAAGCUGGAAUCGCUAGUAAUCGCGAAUCAGAAUGUCGCGGUGAAUACGUUCCC
Molecule: ribosomal RNA, 1005 nt
Filed under: uncultured bacterium
Lineage: Bacteria
Description: bacterial SSU rRNA
Rfam family: Bacterial small subunit ribosomal RNA
Source: RNAcentral